RNAcentral lists this ribosomal RNA (500 nucleotides) under uncultured bacterium. Its description in RNAcentral is "partial 16S ribosomal RNA". It matches the Rfam family "Bacterial small subunit ribosomal RNA", at positions 30 to 523 of the family's 1533-position model. The record is from RNAcentral.
AUUGAACGCUGGCGGAAUGCUUUACACAUGCAAGUCGAACGGCAGCACGGACUUCGGUCUGGUGGCGAGUGGCGAACGGGUGAGUAAUGUAUCGGAACGCGCCCAGUCGUGGGGGAUAACGUAGUGAAAAUUACGCUAAUACCGCAUACGAUCUAUGGAUGAAAGCGGGGGAUCGCAAGACCUCGCGCGAUUGGAGCGGCCGAUAUCAGAUUAGGUAGUUGGUGGGGUAAAGGCCCACCAAGCCAACGAUCUGUAGCUGGUCUGAGAGGACGACAAGCCAAACGUGAACUGUGACACGGUCCAGACUCCUACGGGAGGCAGCAGUGGGGAAUUUUGGACAAUGGGCGAAAGCCUGAUCCAGCCAUUCCGCGUGCGGGAUGAAGGCCCUCGGGUUGUAAACUGCUUUUGUACAGAACGAAAAGGUUUCUACUAAUACUAGGAGCUCAUGACGGUACUGUAAGAAUAAGCACCGGCUAACUACGUGCCAGCAGCCGCCGUAA